This 251-nucleotide ribosomal RNA is filed under the name uncultured bacterium. Its description in RNAcentral is "partial 16S ribosomal RNA". It matches the Rfam family "Bacterial small subunit ribosomal RNA", at positions 523 to 771 of the family's 1533-position model. The record is from RNAcentral.
AUACGUAGGGGGCAAGCGUUAUCCGGAUUUACUGGGUGUUAAAGGGAGCGUAGACGGUUCUGCAAGUCUGGAGUGAAAGCCCGGGGCUCAACCCCGGGACUGCUUUGGAAACUGUGGAACUAGAGUGCAGGAGAGGUAAGUGGAAUUCCUAGUGUAGCGGUGAAAUGCGUAGAUAUUAGGAGGAACACCAGUGGCGAAGGCGGCUUACUGGACUGUAACUGACGUUGAGGCUACGAAAGCGGUGGGGAGAC